CCUACGGGAGGCAGCAGUGAGGAAUAUUGGUCAAUGGACGCGAGUCUGAACCAGCCAAGCCGCGUGCAGGAAGACUGCUCUACGAGUUGUAAACUGCUUUUGUAAGGGGAUAAAGGCAGAUACGCGUAUCUGUCUGAAAGUAUCGUACGAAUAAGGAUCGGCUAACUCCGUGCCAGCAGCCGCGGUAAUACGGAGGAUUCAAGCGUUAUCCGGAUUUAUUGGGUUUAAAGGGUGCGUAGGCGGGUGGAUAAGUUAGAGGUGAAAGCCGGAGGCUCAACUGCGGAAUUGCCUCUGAUACUGGUCGUCUAGAGAGUAGUUGCGGUAGGCGGAAUGUAUGGUGUAGCGGUGAAAUGCUUAGAGAUCAUACAGAACACCGAUUGCGAAGGCAGCUUACCAAGCUACUUCUGACGUUGAGGCACGAAAGCGUGGGGAGCAAACAGGAUUAGAUACCCGAGUAGUC
This 460-nucleotide ribosomal RNA is filed under the name uncultured bacterium. Its description in RNAcentral is "partial 16S ribosomal RNA". It matches the Rfam family "Bacterial small subunit ribosomal RNA", at positions 338 to 795 of the family's 1533-position model. The record is from RNAcentral.